GGACAGAGCAGGGCUGGCGGGAGGCAGGCGAAAGACAGAAUUUUCCUGAAAAAACGGGGGUAUCUAAGGACCCCAAAUUUGGGGAGCUAGUCCAGGACCGUCUUCCCAACAUCCUAGAUUUUUUGGGGAUUUUUUGGGGACCCCGGGACCCCUCUAGAUGGGGUGAGGAAUGUAGUGUUGGGGGAAUCUGACUGGGGCAUUGCAGCUGCCUCUCCCGCCGAGUUGGAGACGGAUGGGCUGGACGGGUUUUGGGGGGGGUGUCCCCAAUUCUGACUGGGAGUGGAGGAACCCCCUCCAGAGCCCUCUCGUGGGGGUGCCCCUUCCUCAGGGCACUCCCCAGUCCUUGAGCCAGCCGAGAGGAAGGAGGCCAGCGAUGCGACUGGGGCGGCUCCUUUCUCCUGCACCCCAAAUGUGAGGGAUGCACCCCAAAAUUUGCUCCUUUCAAAAUAGGGGACCAGGAUCUCAGGGGAAAGUAGCUGAGGGCAGAUGGGAUGUGAAGAGUGGUGCCCCUGAACUGAGUCACUGGAAAGGCCCAUCUCCAGUCCUCUUCUGGGAGAGACUCGUAGGUGUGCAAGCCCACCAGGUAAGGCUAGAUUAUUUACAGGUGGAUUGAGAUGGGUGGGGGGUUGUGCUGGCGAUCAAAGCCAGGAGGGCCUUGUGCAUGCAAGGCAACAACUCUUAAUACUGAGUCACAUCCCCAGUCUUACAUUGAGAUUUUUAAUGAGUCCUGGUCAAGUAGUUCAGAAAAUCAGUAUCCCUGGACACACCAGUGCUAUAUAAAUAACCAGGAAACUCCCAUUAUCAAAUACAGUAAUUAAGUAACUCAAGGCACCCUAAAAUCAAAUUCUUAAAGAUCCUGAUUAGCGGUUUAGAUUAGAUUAGCACUGACCAACGGUGACAGAGCUUACAUUCUUUUACUCCUCAUGGGAAUGCUACCAAAACUAGCAAAAAGUUGAAAAGGUGCUGAGCUCGGAGUUGUGAGGAAGACUUUGGAAUAAUAUUAAGGAGGAAGAAAGCUGCCCACCCCCCUUUCUCUGCUACCCUCCCUCACACUGUCCGUUCCUUGAUGACACAGCUGAUGUGAUUAAGAUCGUCCCCAAAUCGCUUCACAGCAGCCCUCAGCAUCUCUAUCUCCGUCUCCGUCCACUUCGCACUGUCGGAAGGGAGAGGGGGGAUAGCAAAAACAGGAGGCGGGUGUGGAGCUAGCCCACAGGCUAUGCACUCCACAGCCAACCAGCCUCCUCCCCGCAAUCUCUGGGCCCCCUUCCAAGAAACCAUAAAGCGGGCAUUCCUUUUUAAAAAGCUUUGGGGGUCCCUAACCACACGAAAUUGCAUCCACCAUCCCCUUACAGCACCCCUCUGCCCCAUCAAUGUGUAACAGCUGCUGUCAACAGGCCACUAAAACCAAUUCACCAAGUAGAGGCCUUACAAACAGAAUUUCUGAACACAGUCUGCAGUAGUCUGAGGGGAUAACAAAAUUUGGGGCGGCGGCGGUGGUGGUGGUGGAGGCCAGUCGGCUCGCAGUAGGGUGCAACUGUGAAAUCUAAGUCCGGGUUGGGGAACCGUUUGCAUCUUCACGUGUCACUCACUUACUCAUUUCAACACUUACUAACACCUACUCUGCACUGUGCCAGCUACAGUGAGAAACUAACGUCUGCCCCUGCCCUAAGAAGGUCCACGUCUGUGACAGAUCCAAGCGUCAGUUCUCGGCGUCAGCGUCCCAGCCCCAUCUCACGUACCCCGCGGGGGAAGAAUCAGACACGGGAUGCAGCUGCAUCGUCAGCUCCCCGAGCUUCGUGAAGGCGGCGCCGGCCGCGGAGAAGAUCUCUCCGACCUGGGGGCGGGGCAGGAUUACGGGGGGCCGGCGCACAGCCGGUCCACCGUCCCGCCCGGAGCCCCUAGCCCCACCCCAGGCUCGGCCCUCCCCCGCCUGGCGCAGAAGAGCCAGGAGCCGAGCGGGGGGCCCGCCCGCCCGUGACCGCCAGGGAGCGCUGUCCGCGAGGGAGGUCGAACCUUUGUGGACGCUGACGUCAUGUCCCCGCGCACCUCCUCACCGAGACGCUCCGCCGCCGCCGCCACGCGAGCCGAGACCACGGCGGGCGCGACUGUGGAGCCCCUCCGGCUCCCGCGCAGGAAGUCCCGCCCCCGGCAGCUGAUUGGCUCAAGCCUGGCCGCUUCCCGCCCCUCCUUCCGCGGGCAAAUAAAGCCUCAGCGCCGUGGGGAACGAGGUGGAAGACACCGCCUCACUUCCGGGUCCAGCUAGCCGCCCAGCCCCUCCAUCCUGCCUGCUGCCUUCUAAGGCAUGCAGUUUCCCGGCCUUCCAGCCCUCCAACCCCGGAGCUCCUCGGGUCCCCUCUCCAGUUCUCGGUGAGCAGGCCCCUCACCAACAUGAUCACUCCCCAGACGCUAAGGACGAUGCCGCACGCGGCCACCUUGGGGCCACAGCACAGGAGCGACGCCAUGAAGAAGGGAGUCGGGGAAUCAAGCCGAGUGUGAGCCGAGUAGAACGGCAGCGAUGCCGAGCCUAAGAUACGCAGCCGGGGUCAGCGAGCCGCAUUUGAGGACUUGAGCCAAACAGUGAGCCGAAAGGGCGUGGCCUUCGGAAUCUACCAUUCGGCCUGGGGGUGGCAGCAGAGAGGAUGGGCGCCUUACGGUCCUCCACGGGUUUUGGCGAGAGAAUACACAUCUGAAACUAAAGCCGCCCGCCUGGAAGCCCUUCCUGACCUACAGAUAUGUAUCUGGGGCCUGAUUACUCUAAGACCGAGGAUUCGUUCCUUGGUCUCUUUCCCCCUCCAUAUUGGAAUGGAAGGCGCCGAAUGGCACAUGACCUGGUUGGUCAUGUGACUAGGAGCUAGCCAUAACCAGGCCUCCAGAAACGUCCGACUCUGGCAAAGACUCUUGGGGCCCCUGCUUACCAUGUCUGGCUGACGGCGACCCAGAUGCCAUGUGAUGGUCAUUUGAAGACAAGACUGCUGGACAUCAGGUAGAGACCCCAUCACCAUGGCCAUUGUCACAUCUUCUUUUGUGUGUAAGAUGUAAGUGGAACACCAGCCCCAGUGGGAACUGGCGGAACUCUUCACCGGACAUGAUUCUGGCAGGAUACAGGUGGUGUGACGAGGGGUGGGGACAGGAAUAGAAGUCGAUUUCUGUGUCUCUGAGAAGCAGUCACGGAUAUCUAGAAUUGUCCUGAGUCUUGGAAGGUGUGAAUGGGAAUUGGCCACUGUCAUGUUCAGAGGGAAGGCUGUAAUGAGGGGUUGGGGUCCUGUCCCGGGGGAGGGACUCCUGUAGAGCCUCCCAGGAAUCCCUGAUUGUGGGGUGGACCUUACCUCGGUCCUGAGCUUUGCAUAGCCCCACCUCAGUGAUCUCCCGACACCAUGCCUGCAGCUCAAGGUCCCCCCUCACGACGUCAUCCCUCGGGUAGAAGAGGUGGACAAUCCCCUCCACAUACCUGCCCAGAGGAGGGAAGUGAGCUCUCCAAAAGCAGAACAUUCCAGCCUCUGACCUCUUCCUGUGCCUCCCUCUUACUGUGCUUGGAGCAGAUCCUCUAGGACUUGUCUUUUGGGACAGUCCCCAGGUUCUCUGUUUAGCGAUAUCCAUAUGUAUGUGCACAUGUAUGUUUGCUGUGCUGGGGAUCAAACCCAGGCUCUGCACACGUUAGACAAGCAUUCUACCACUGAGCUACCGCCGUAGGUUUUUGACACAACAGUGUAAAGGAGAUCUCGGUUCUAGGGAUUCCCUAUACAUAGCUGCUGUCUGCUGUUCCUGAUGAAACCCUUGCUCUUCUAGAUCCCUGGUCUUCCCAACCCCAUGAUGCUCCUCGCUGACAUACUCUGCCCCUACCCCGGGCUCCUCAGUUUUAGGGUCCACCCACGAUCUCCUUCCUUUUCCUCACCUCUCCCUGGAGAAUGCUGUUGUGCCAUGGUGAACAACGGAGCUCUGCCCUCCUCCCACCCCUCCCGUUUCUCAGCUCUCACCUACCGGGCAAUGAUCUUCCACAGCUGUAACGCAUCCUGGGCGUAGAGAGCACCUGGGAUUCCCAGCAGGCCUCGCUCAGCCAGGUCAUCAGGAGGACAGAGGGAGCAGUAGGUUAGCUGAGCCAUUGCCUGACGGAGCAACUGCACGUGGCCCCCUCCGCCUGUGUUUACUGCCUGCGACAAGAGUUGACAGGUCUUGAGGAAUGGAUAAUUCCAGCUUACUGUAUAAGAGAUCCAGCAGUGCAUUUUCAGACUUAAAGUCGUGUAUAUAAAGGGCCAAGCUUGAGGUUAAAGGUCAGGGCACUCCUGUGAGUUGGCCCAGGCUUCUGAAGGUGGUAAAAAUCACAGAAAAGUGGGCGAUUAGAUAGUUCAGUACUCCAUGCUGUCCUUACCUGGUCAAAUAUUCCUCUCUCCGAGAUGAGCUGGGUCCGGGCCCGCGUGUUGAUUUCCAUAGUGUAGCGGAUAUGGGGGACCAGGAGCUGGGGUGAGGAGAGGAGGCAGUUAGUAGACUUGUGUUUAGUCUUUUAGAGUCAGAGUUUCACUAUGCAGUUCAGGCUGGCCUUGAACUCAUUUCGUAGCCCUCUGCCUGCCUCAGCCUCCCCAAGGCUGGGAUUACAGGCGAUGCUUCUGCCCCCUCUGCUGCCUUGACAGGCUCGUCUCCUGUGACCCUGAGCACUCAUUCUCAUGUCCUUGUUUCCUCAUAACCUGGGCGCUGGAGUCACAUGGGUCCACUUUACCACUCUAAUAAGUAGCCAACAGAAUAACCCAAUAACCUGCAAUCUCUGUGUUUACAAGAAAGGGCGGUAGUAGACUGUCCUCGGCCAGAGCUGCGGUGAUGGCUGUGGUUAUGUGGGUGAUGUGUGCAGAGUGUUUAGUCACACAGAAGUCCCCCAGCAGCAGCUGCUGCUGUUCUGAUAUUGGGUUGAAUGUAGGUGCCUUUAUGAAUCGUUCUCUUUUGAUUUUCUUUUGCAUUUUCUCUAUCAUUCGCAUCUUCGUAGCUUAAACCAGCUUGUCAAAGCUGCACCCCCUUCCACUGUUGUCAGUUCGAUGUGUUUGGGGAGGUGGUUUGGGCAGACACUUUCAGUUAGAAGUGGAGAGCUCUACUGAGCUGCCUGUUUAUGCAAGCGAGGGGCCUUUGUCAGUUCCAUCCCAUCCCCAGUCAGUCUUCCUCUGUUUCGCUUUUCUUGGCUAUUAAAAAGGCCACCUAAUCCUUGUGGCUUUUUUUUUCUUUGUCUUUUUACACAUGUUUCUUUUUAUCUUAUUUGUCUUCUUUAAUACCCAGUUAAUAUGCGAGUUUUAUCCAGUUUUGGUAUCUACCUGAAUAGAUGAUGCUGGACAUCGAACUAAACUAAGUAGUGAUUCCUUUAAUACUAAUAACAAAACUCACACUAGUCUGCAACUUUUCAGAAAGUUCAUGAAAGCUGCUGAAUAUUACUAAAAGCCAAAAUUCCCUAUCAAAAGAAAAGAUGCCUGAGAACAAACAAAUAAUAAUAAAUAGUAAGGACACAGUUUUGUCAGCAUUUAGUAUGUGCCACACCAUUGCUCUGGGCCAUUCUAGCCUCUGACAAACAUUCUGUGGAUGUGGGCAUCUGUUUGGUACUGAGGCUGGCACUCGGGAUUCAGAGACUCCAGCAAGCAAAAUCAAAAGUCUGCAUGGGUGACCCUUGUGCCAUUUACACACUCAGUCUUCCUGAGCGCCCAGGAGUGACAGACAGCUGUUUGCCUUGGGAUGAGGUUGCUAUGGUGAGUGGAGACAAGGUGGUUUUCAUAAGGCUUUCCCUGUCCAAGGUAGGCAGAGGAUGGCGAUGCAGGAGGUGUCCCAGGACAAAAAAAUCAAAGACCUGUGCCUCACACUGGCCUGCAUCUUUUCUGUGUAGCAGUGUUGUGGCCACAGAUGCUCUCCUGUGUGUGCCAGGCUUGGGUCCAGAUGGCUGCCUCGUGAGACAGUCCAGCUGCUCUCCUUACCAAGUUCUCGCUUGCGCACUUUGCCACUACAUCACCUUCCUGGAGCUAAACCCAGUCAACUCAUUUUUGCUCCCAAACAAAUGUUUUUAAGCCUACCAUUUCUGACAGUUAUUGUUUCAUAAGCUUGUAUCAUGUUUGUGCCCUUCUCUGCCACAUAUCCCAUAUGGAAGGUGUCUGUAAGAUUUUUGAGAACAUUUUUUAAGCAAGCAUAUGUCUUCCUGCCUUCUGUCCAGAAACUGAUGUCAAACUCUCUUUUUCACAAAAUUAUAGUAUUUCUAGAUGAGUACAACCCACCUACGCUGUGGGCUUCCAGGUGUUAAGGAAGCUUGGACUUUGGUGUCAGCCCUGUUCCAUUGAGGCGUGCUGUAGCUGUUUCUGUUUCUUCCCUCAGUGUCCCUGUCGCUAUCACCGCUGAGCACAUCUUCACCCACCUUCCUCUUGGGUAGGUCUGAGUGGCCUGCUGGGCUGCUCGUUGCCUUUUAAUCUGUUUCUGCCUAACUGGUUUCUUGGUUAAGGUGGUACAGUCUUCAUUAGCACCAUACUGUUUAAUGGCAUCCUUCUGAUUUCAAACUCUAGUUCCAGAUAAUGUUUUCUGGUUGGUUUUGAUACACUUGUUUUCCUAGAUAAAUACUAAUUUAACCUAGUCAUAAGGCUUUUGUUUUACUGACAAUAUCCCAGCUAUAAUGCAAGCCCAUUUCUAGACUCUCAGGUCUUUGGAAAUCUCAGAAGGCCCCUUGUAAGGUGUCCUGAAACAAAGUUAAAUGACUCAACUUGAUUAAAAUAAGAGUCUUGGGUCAUUGAUAUAGUCUUUUUCUGUGCUCCAUUUUUCAUUAACAAAUUGCUAUUUUUUUCUUUUGCUACUGCACUGUCCUUUGAACCUGAGCCAUCAGCUUCCGUGGGGUGAGGAACACGAGAAGAAAUACCUUGUAGACAGGGUGCAGCCCUGGGAGGCACCUCAUGGUGGCGACAGCGAUGACCUCAGCCACUAGGUGCGUGUUCAGCAGAUGAUACUGGAGCUGGUGCAGCUGAAAAUCCGCAUUGCGGACCCAGGACUUGGCCAGGAGCCAGGCAAUUGUGAGACCCAUGAAAGUCACCAAAAGGGGCUGUCAAGGGAUUAUGGAGACCCUGGGGGACUACUGACCAGCCAGGGUACUCUUCUGGCCCCAGAAAAUCUGAUCGAAGUCUUCUAGGCGGUUCCAGGGGCUCAAGAGGGUGUACACGCGUUUGACGAUCAUCUCCACAACCCUAAGACAGACUUCCACUCCAGGAUCCUAUUUCAUGUGGAUGUCCUUCUCCCCUUCGCCCCUCACUUGUCUCUGGAGUCAUCUUAUUUUCCAAGGAAAAAUAAAACCCUGGACCUGUUAGAGCAUCGGGACGGAACCAGGAGCUGAGGCUCUACCUAGCAGAGGCUGACGAGAGCCCACCUUAUCUUUCCAGACAGCAUUGGUAGAGCAGAGCUGUCCCUGUUGCAGAAGACAGACUGAGCAUGGGAAGAAGCAGCACAGAGGAAGUUGAGGAGGCAGUUCAUUGCACGACUGGGCUUGACUGGCAUCUCUCCCAAAGAAUCAGCCCUGCCUGGCCAGCAAGGUUUUGGGUCUUUCACAGGGAGAGAAAGCAGGAGGUACAAAGGCAGGCUUAGUGUGUCAUCACUGGAGGCUGGAUGACAUCAUGGGUUGCUGAGGAAGUUUAAACACCAUGUUACACCACACAAGGCCAUCGCUAAACAAGCAUGGGUGACACAGAGGAAGGCAUAUUCUGUCAUCAGGAUUUCCCAGACGUGUCUGCUGGGUUUUGGUGGGCAUUCUUUGCAAGGUUUUAUUUAGAAAUUUUUCCUUUUGGGUCUACUCAACAUUUCUGUAAAAGAUUGGGAGAUUCAUCCUGGGUCCUUCAUCCAGCUCUCAUGGAUAGUCCUUAUUCCUCAUGAUCCCAAUACUGGACUCCCUUUUCAGGAAGAAGGGUCUCUUUUCAGCCCAGGGUAUCUUAAGCUUCUCACAUUACCUGGCGAAGCCGCAGUUAAAGGACAGGUGAGCUGUGGGUCCAUGCAAAGGGUCCUCUUGGGGACCCCUGCCCACAUUCUACAGCAGCCCCUACUCUGCUUAUCUUUCUUUUUGCUUUCAUGUUUACCUCACCUCCCAUACUGUUCAGAUUUCUUAUGGGAUUUCUAGAGAAUUUUCAUAUCUUGCCUACUUCUUUGACCUACCCUAUGCUGCACCAUAUUUGAAAGCAGUCACUGACACUGAGGUUUGCCAUGUAACAGAUUUUACUGAAGGUCUUCCAGGACAGUGUUAUGGUUUAUGUUCAGAUCCUCCCCCUGCCCCCCCCCAAGCUUCAUGCAGUCAUGGACGCAGCCAAAUCUAGCCUUCGUGAUUGGUUUGUUGUCUAGCACUUGGGUUGGUGGUGUGAGUGCUGCACCUGCCCAGGGGUGGAGCCAGCAUACAGUGUAACAGUGGGAAGGAGAGGAAGGUGUGUCCUCCUCUGUUUUUUGUGCUGUUAUCGCUUGCUGUUUGUGGCUCCUGUGAAGAAGUGGCCCUGCCAGGCCAUCCUGCUGCUUGGAGCCAGCUGAGUAUAGACUAAAACCUCCAAAAUUAUAAGAAAUAAAGCUUCCCUUCCCAAAA
Cavia porcellus (domestic guinea pig) is the source of this 8554-nucleotide long non-coding RNA. RefSeq lists it as uncharacterized. The record is from RefSeq and is a predicted model, not a curated record. NCBI's taxonomy places the organism in Eukaryota, Metazoa, Chordata, Mammalia, Rodentia, Caviidae. The transcript is spliced from 9 exons.